This is a long non-coding RNA of Solenopsis invicta (red fire ant), 3564 nucleotides long. RefSeq lists it as uncharacterized. The record is from RefSeq and is a predicted model, not a curated record. The transcript is spliced from 2 exons. NCBI's taxonomy places the organism in Eukaryota, Metazoa, Arthropoda, Insecta, Hymenoptera, Formicidae.
UUGAGAUUUCAUCGCGCUUUUUUGUUAUUUUAGCGGAGCAUAUCAAUAACUGACACGCACAGUGAUUUGUUGCAUGGAAAUUUGUCUUACCUUUAAAUAAAAAUUCCGAUUAUUCGUGACAAAAUUAACACAGAAAAUUGUAAAAAAUGGGUCAGCAAUAUACGAACAAUAAUAUAUGAUUAUUUAGUUUAAAUUAAAUUUACAUUUAGAUGAUGCGACAUUCUAAAUGUAAUUUAAAAUGGUAUUGAUUCUAUUAAAAAGUUUUAGAAUUUAUCAGAUUUUUUAAAACUUCUACAUGAAUUUUAAUAUUUUUUAUAAUUUCUAUAUAAUAUUCUAUAUAAUUUCCAUAUAAUUCACAAACUAAAAAAAUUUCUUAUAUUUUUUUAUACAAACUAAAGAGCACACAGAAAUGCUGAGAAAUGUCUUUUCUAAUAUUUUUGGUAUAUGUGAAAUAUUUCAAAGUUUUAGUUUUCUCGUUCUAUAAUUUUCGAAACUAACUUGUAAAAUUUGUACAUGUUUAAAGUUAAAUCUGUUUUCUUUUAGAAAUCUUUAAAAUUUGAAAAAUUCUUCAAAAUAUAAGAUAUUGAAAAUUUUUUUCAGUAAAGACUUUUAAUACAAUAUUCUUCAUAUAUAAAUUAUAAUUGUAUGUGAAAUUGUGACAAUUACGAGAUAAUUUAUUGCACAAUUCAAAUUAGCCGUGUUGCAGCGCCUUUCAAUUACCUUAAUAUGUAGUCGAUAUCUACGCAAGAUGUCGCUAUCUGUACAUUUGCGCAAAUAGCAUCGAUUCCAGAGGCGACUGAUCUAUUUGAUCAUAGACUUGGCCGGCUUGACAAAUUUGUAGACCCUUUUUACAGUUACUCGUAUAAAUCAGAAGAAUAGACAAAUAUUACUGGAUCGUCUUUCGAGAGUCAUGUAUCGUCGAUAAGCCGCAAGGACGCUUUCCGACGAGCUGCAAGAUUAACGUGCAUUUCUUUGGAAAAAUCUUCUUUCUACAAGAGACUUUUUUUUUAAAAAAAAAAAGGGUCCAAGGACGUAUCGUCCAAGGUACAUUCUCCGAUCUUGGCAGAAAUUCGAGCUCUCCCUCUCUUUCCUGUCCAACAACAAAACGAUGGCGAGCUGGAAUCGCGUACGCAAUGGAACGAGGUAAGAGCGGAAAACAGGCUCCCACGAAUUCCCCCGACGUUCAUUGUAAAACUGUGAAGGAAAGAUUUGCGGGGGUAGAGGGGCUGAGGAAGACGGUUUCUCGGUCGUGCCAGUGACAGCUACGAGAUCAGUUCGAGCGUGAUACACACGUGUGAGUUAGAUUUUUCUCACGAAAGACCGGGAAACAUCAGGCAGAAAUGCAGAGUUUUUUUUUCUUCCCAUAUAAAAUUGGGCAAACAAGAUAAAGAAUUGAAAUAUCAAUUGUAUCGUACGAACUUGCCAAUUAUUUCAUCAAAAUAAAAUGUCGGAUUUUUAAAAAACAAAUAUUAAGUAUUACAUCUCUCAAAACAUUGUCAAAAAUAUACAAAUUUUAUAGAUUGCUCUGUCGUUACCUUUAAAUAUCUCUGUAAAAUUUGAGCACAAUUCUUUUAUUAGUUUAAAAGUUUUAUUGGUUUAAUUUUUUGUUUGCUCUUGAUUCUCAUGUAAAAUCGCGUUUUAUACUUAAUUUGCAAAUUUGAAGAAGCAGUUUUAUGAAUUAAAUUAAAUUUUGUGCAUAUAUAUUAAUAAAACUCUAAUAGACAUUCAUUCAAAAGCUCACUUGAAUCUACUUACUCGUUUAUUUACUUAGAAUUGCAACAAAAUACGAGCUCGUAUUAUGGAACUUUUCGGACUCGAUCGUAAUUUUAUUUAUUUCCCAAAGUCUUAUUGCGUUUUUUUUUAGGAAAAAUUAAAACAAUUUUGAUUGAAAUCCAUUACAAAACAAUUCCAUAACACGCGCCAUAAUCGUUUGCAUUGCAUAAAAAAUUGUAAGCCAAAUUAUUCAUUGCUUUGUUCAAGGCCAAAAUUUGGCCAAAAUUAUUCGCAAUCAACAUUUUUUGAUUAGGAAAAAAACCUAAAAAGCAUGCAAUUUUUUAAUUUCGAUGACUUCUAGCUAGUACUAUAUAGCCAAAAUUGUCUUCAUUAAAAUAUGCAUCACUAGCAUCAGUAGAUUUUCCUUAACAUUGAUGAUAUUAUAUACAAGUAAUAUAUAUUGCAUUUAUUUAAAUUGUGUCGCAGCUUCUGGCGUAAGUAGGAAAUGCAUUUUGUAACAAAGGAUGUAUCAAAAGGGGCAGCUGUGAAUAAUUAAUACUCUCGAUACAGCCUCGUGCCGCUUCGAUAACAAUAUACAAUGGAAGGCGAGGCGAGGACCCCGUGCAAGAUAUUCGACCAUGUGCGCACUUACGGGUUCACAUAGGUUCACAUACGGGCGUUUACCACUCUACACAUCAUAUGGUCGACUUAUGAAUGGUAUCUGCACACGUUCCCACGUCACUGAAUGAGCCUCAGGUCCCUCCGGCGUCCAUCCGGCGGCAUAUCGUAACCGCCUCUAUUCCACGCGUAGAUCGUCCAAUUCUCAUCUCGUUUCUUCCCCUCUUCUUCCCGUAUUACUUUAAUUCAGCUCUCGUUCGAAUUAUAUGCCAUUGAAGCGUAUGUGAUAGAUGCCCGCGUGUGAUAGUAGAUUGCCAAGUAUUCGAAAGAUAAUAAUUGGAAGAUGCAAACCCGUAAUCUCAAGGCAUCAGAAAUUUAUACUGGCUAAUGAUUCGGCAGCAAAUAAUUGCGUGCACGUUUGAAGCGAGUCGUAAUUACAACUUAAAUGCUGAAAAAAGAGUUGUUAACUUAAUUAAUGUUCAUUUCCACCAAUUUAACUUAUUCUUUUAUCCUUUUUGCAGUUCUAAUUCUUAGAACUGCAAAAAAAAAUUAAAAGUUAAACCGAGAUCAAAAAGUUAAUCUGCACUGGUGGAAAUGAACAUAAAUUUUCAGCUUGAACUUUAAACUUCUUCGGUUCAAGUACAUCCAUGUGUUUAAAUUAAGUAUACAAAUGACGAGAUCAAUUUAAAACCCUCUGCUUAUUUCUGCAUCGCUAUUUCUCGGCGAAUUCUAAUGCAAUAUUUAUGCGAUCGAGAGAGUCAUCGAAUCAACUCAUUUUCAAUUCUUUCAAUCGGCGCUCCUCCCCACCCCCCUCCCCCUCGGACUGCGAGACUUCGAGCUCCGAGCGAAACGCGACGCAAUCGCGGUCGCGUCAUCAAAUGUACGCAUACAUUGGCCUCGGCGGGAAACAGGUGUCGGCUCGUAGCCGUUGCCACGGUGGCCGGCUUAGAUUGCGGCACUGACAGAGACGGCACCGGACGGACACGACGGCGGACACCUGCACGCCACUGAUUGCACGUAAGAUCGCGGCGGUAUCCUUCCCGGGGUACCUAUCCUGUGGCUCUUUCACGCCGUGUACCUCGCCUUUCCCGUGGCUCCCCCGUUCUCCCCAUUCCUCCGCUCUGGCUGCCAGUAAUUUGACAUCCCGCGAUACUCCCAUGAUCGAUCCUCCCACGGAACGCGGAGAAGCGGAACUCCAAGGAUGUGCCCACGUAUGUGCGCUCACGUACGAGA